CCCAGAGCUGCAUCUCCUCCCUCUCCCUGCUUAACUGUUUCUACACCAAUGGUGGUAAGUAGGAGGUGCAGUGAAAGGUGAAACCAAAAUGUUUUGAUGCUGGGGGCUUUGAUCCUUCCUGCUCUUUUAGGAUCACUUGUAUCUGAAGCCCUCAAUUGAGUUCUGAGAAACUUCUGGGAGGAAGGACCGUCUUAAAGAGUUUUCAUUCCUUUUUUGUUUCUGCAGUUUUUUUUUUCCCACAGAAGGGCGUAUUCAGAUUCCUAAAGAAGGCUUUGAAAGGGAUCCAGAGAGGCAAUCACAUGCAUGUGCAGCUAUUUUUUUCAUCCGGCAAGAAUAUAUGGAAUGUGAAUGGAGUUUCAGCAUAGCUCUGUGAGUUUGUGAUGCCUCCAGAAAUGAAGACUCCUGAGGGAGAAUUUCACUGAGGAACAUCAUGUUUUCCAGAAUUUCUGGGAAAGACAUAGACCUGUUGGAGUGCAUCCAGAAGAGGGCCACAAAAAUGAUCCAAGGAUGGAACACCUUCCCUACAAG
This 528-nucleotide long non-coding RNA is filed under the name Gallus gallus (chicken). RNAcentral describes it as "lncRNA (ENSGALG00010017302.1)". The record is from RNAcentral. Lineage: Eukaryota; Metazoa; Chordata; Aves; Galliformes; Phasianidae.